Mastomys coucha (southern multimammate mouse) is the source of this 905-nucleotide long non-coding RNA. RefSeq lists it as uncharacterized. The record is from RefSeq and is a predicted model, not a curated record. Lineage: Eukaryota; Metazoa; Chordata; Mammalia; Rodentia; Muridae. The transcript is spliced from 4 exons.
ACAGAUUGACUUACACUUGGCUUUCAGCUUACAACUGAGUCCCAGCUGAGUUCGUGGUACCCUCACUCAGACAAGCCUUCCACAGUCCUGUUCUCACUCCACUAAUUCCAAACUGGCUUUCUUGCCCGCUUGCCAUCCCGGAAGGGCCUUCCGCUCCCCUAGAACUUGCCCGUUUUAAAUGUCAAGACGUUCUUCUGGCAGCUAACCCCUCUAGCUUCCAACCCAGCCUUGUGUUGACUCUUAGCUGUCUGAUCCACAGGCUGAAGACAAGCAUCUCUCUGCUCAUCUUCACAACUCUCUCUAUGAUUGCCUCUGAGCUUUAAAACCAUUAAGAGUGGCUGCAGAGACAUGAAUUGUCUUUAUCUUCUGAAACCUGUACCUCCUAAUGUAAAAAUCUCUCUGUCAGUGGCAGAAGUCCAGGACUAGUAUUUGGAGAACAAGAAUAAGUUAAAGGUGAGGCAACGCUGGCCAGGAAAGCAGAGCCCGCUUUCUCUGCCUCCUUACCGGGCUGGAUAAAGCGUUAUGCUAGCGUGGAUCUCAGAGCAUCGUGGCACUUAAGGCGCACAGCUGAGUGAGACUGCUGGUGACACGUCUCCCCGGCAGCCCGCAUAGGAUCCUCUGGCACAAUGGGCAUUGCCAACAAGGAAGAAGCUCCCAGCCCAGUUCCCAGGAUGAAAGCAUGAACCUGCUUAGCGCUGGAGUCUCACCAUCUAGUCUGAUGGCCAAUCCACAGCAAUGCCAACAGGCUAACCAUUGUUUGGGGAGCCUCAGGGGUCUCCCUGAUUGACAGCCUAUAGCAAGGUAGCUCACCCCUUGCAUGAGGACUUUUAUUUAAUAACCUAUGACUUCUGAGAAUAAGAGUUGACAUUCGUAAAAUAAAUAAAUAAAUAAAAAGGAAUGCCAAA